GAGGGUGACGGUGCCCGGACCCGGACGCGUUCCACCGGACACCGGGACGCAGGGAGGGAGAGCGACCCACCGGAGCCACGCGAGGACAAUGAGACCAGCACACUGCUCUCCCCUCUGUGUCGCUGAGAGGGGGACGCCGAUAGGAUUAUGCUGAUGUGGGAUGAAGCGUGUUCUAACCUGCUGAAUCAUGGCAGCACUUUGUUAUUCUAUGGGGGGGCCAUUCAGGGUCCAGCAUCUUGUCCAAGGACACUUCGGCAUGCAGAUGGGUCAGACUGGGGAUCGAGCCGCCGAGCUUCAGGUUGGAGUACGACCAGUCUACCCCUCAGCCGCAGCCGCUUUCGCCCCUAAGUAGGUCCGAAAGCAAAUUAAUCAAAUCUCCUCUUAACUAUACCUUUAUUUAUGUAAAAUACAUUUUUUUUAUGCUUGCAA
Platichthys flesus (European flounder) is the source of this 429-nucleotide long non-coding RNA. RefSeq lists it as uncharacterized. NCBI's taxonomy places the organism in Eukaryota, Metazoa, Chordata, Actinopteri, Pleuronectiformes, Pleuronectidae. The transcript is spliced from 3 exons. The record is from RefSeq and is a predicted model, not a curated record.